Molecule: transfer RNA, 76 nt
Filed under: Kitasatospora phosalacinea
Lineage: Bacteria; Bacillati; Actinomycetota; Actinomycetes; Kitasatosporales; Streptomycetaceae
Description: tRNA-Trp
Rfam family: tRNA
About the family: Transfer RNA (tRNA) molecules are approximately 80 nucleotides in length. Their secondary structure includes four short double-helical elements and three loops (D, anti-codon, and T loops). Further hydrogen bonds mediate the characteristic L-shaped molecular structure. tRNAs have two regions of fundamental functional importance: the anti-codon, which is responsible for specific mRNA codon recognition, and the 3' end, to which the tRNAs corresponding amino acid is attached (by aminoacyl-tRNA synthetases). tRNAs cope with the degeneracy of the genetic code in two manners: having more than one tRNA (with a specific anti-codon) for a particular amino acid; and 'wobble' base-pairing, i.e. permitting non-standard base-pairing at the 3rd anti-codon position.
Source: RNAcentral
CGGGCCCGUAGCGCAGAGGCAGGCGCACCGGUCUCCAAAAUCGGAGGACAUCGGUUCGAAUCCGAUCGGGCCCGUC